RNAcentral lists this ribosomal RNA (120 nucleotides) under Pteropus vampyrus (large flying fox). The record is from RNAcentral. Lineage: Eukaryota; Metazoa; Chordata; Mammalia; Chiroptera; Pteropodidae.
GUCUCUGGCCAUGCCACCCUGAACAAACCUGGUCCCCUCUGAUCUGGAAAGCUAAGCGGGGUCGGGAGCUAAGCUAAGCUAAGAUGGGAGACCACCUAGGAAGACCAGGUGCUGUAGGCG